RNAcentral lists this long non-coding RNA (1113 nucleotides) under Homo sapiens (human). RNAcentral describes it as "novel transcript". The record is from RNAcentral. Lineage: Eukaryota; Metazoa; Chordata; Mammalia; Primates; Hominidae.
ACCGGACGCGCCCGCUUCUCGCUGGAGUGCGCACCGAGCGGCAGUGACUUCGCCGCUGCUGUAGUUCCCCGGCUGGAUGCGGUGACUGGUGCCAGUGCUCAGGCGCCCGCUGCCCUUGACCUCCCGCCCCGCGAGCCCUAACUCAGCGCAGGAGGACCGGCUGCCGCCGCCGCCGCCGCCAGAGCCUUGGCUGCCCAGUUGCCAGUCCUACCACGGUCGGAGGUAACCUUCCUGGCUCCAGUCACAUGGCCAGAUAAGGUGGUGUGUGUGGGCAUGAAUUAUGUGGACCACUGCAAAGAACAGAACGUGCCCGUGCCCAAGGAGCCCAUCAUCUUCAGCAAGUUUGCCAGCUCCAUCGUGGGGCCCUAUGAUGAGGUGGUCCUCCCACCACAGAGCCAGAUCCACACAACUUAAAGAUCUGCUGUCGAGUGAAUGGGGAAGUGGUCCAGAGCAGCAACACCAACCAGAUGGUAUUCAAGACAGAGGACCUGAUAGCCUGGGUGUCCCAGUGUCGGUGUAUUCAGGAAACCUCCUGUCUUUCUCAAGGUCUCUGAAGGUCCAGACAGCACUGAUGGCGAGCUUUGGGUCCGCACACUCUGGAAAGAAGAGAGAAGUGAAGGCUCUAGGGGGCAGCAGCCACCAGCAAACACCACUGCCUGCAGGAGCCUGGGCUGACUGGUUGGGACUCACCGAAGAUCCCUUCUUCCUGGGCGGUGGCCUGCAGGAACUGGAACAGCUGCUCUGUGUAGCCCAACUCUGCAGAAGAGAGAAGACCUAGACCUGGCACCCAGCACAGACACAGCCUGCCUCGAGGACUGCAAGGGAACAAGGGCCUCACCAGUAUCGGGCAGCUGGCCCUGGCGGAGGAAGGCGGCAGCCUGUGCAAAGGCCUUGAGCAGCGGGCUGAGCAGGCGGCAGAGGAAAAGAAAGAAAUCUGGGCAGUGUGACUGCUGGCUGAGCUGGAGGGGACAGGCCGGGGUGAGUGCAGCUCCCCACCGCCUCCCUACCACCUCCCUCCAGGGGCAGCUUUUUGAAACACACCCUGAAGUACCGGCCGUCAGCCUCUCCGAAGUCAUCACUGUCACUAUCAGUAAAGUCCCCACUCGGUUUCCA